GAUGAACGCUGGCGGCGUGCCUAAUACAUGCAAGUCGAGCGAACAGAUGAGGAGCUUGCUUCUCUGACGUUAGCGGCGGACGGGUGAGUAACACGUGGAUAACCUACCUAUAAGACUGGGAUAACUUCGGGAAACCGUAGCUAAUACCGGAUAAUAUUUUGAACCGCAUGGUUCAAUAGUGAAAGACGGUUUUGCUGUCACUUAUAGAUGGAUCCGCGCUGCAUUAGCUAGUUGGUAAGGUAACGGCUUACCAAGGCAACGAUGCGUAGCCGACCUGAGAGGGUGAUCGGCCAAACUGGAACUGAGACACGGUCCAGAAUCCUAAGGGAGGCAGCAGUAGGGAAAUUUUCGGAAUGGGCGAAAGCCUGACGGAGCAAAGGCGCGUGGGUGAAGAAGGGCUUCGGAUCGUAAAAAUCUGUUAUUAGGGAAGAAAAAAUGUGUAAGGAAAUAUGCAAGAUUUGACGGUAACUAAUCAGAAAGGCACGGCUAACUACGUG
This 497-nucleotide ribosomal RNA is filed under the name uncultured bacterium. RNAcentral describes it as "partial 16S ribosomal RNA". It matches the Rfam family "Bacterial small subunit ribosomal RNA", at positions 28 to 507 of the family's 1533-position model. The record is from RNAcentral.